Molecule: ribosomal RNA, 105 nt
Filed under: uncultured bacterium
Lineage: Bacteria
Description: partial 16S ribosomal RNA
Rfam family: Bacterial small subunit ribosomal RNA
Source: RNAcentral
AAUACGUUCCCGGCCUUGUACACACCGCCGUCACACCACGAAAGUCUAUUGGACCAGAAGUUACGGGGUCUUCCUGUACCCAAGGUCUGAUCGAUGAUUGGGGUG